GUGCUCACUUCAGCAGCACAUGUAUUAAAAUUGGAACGAUACAGAGAAGAUUAGCAUGGCCCCUGUGCAAGGAUGACACGCAAAUUCGUGAACUGUUCCAUAUUUUU
This 107-nucleotide small nuclear RNA is filed under the name Tupaia belangeri chinensis (Chinese tree shrew). The record is from RNAcentral. Lineage: Eukaryota; Metazoa; Chordata; Mammalia; Scandentia; Tupaiidae.